This 210-nucleotide unclassified non-coding RNA is filed under the name uncultured Agaricales. RNAcentral describes it as "sequence contains ITS2". Lineage: Eukaryota; Fungi; Basidiomycota; Agaricomycetes; Agaricales. The record is from RNAcentral.
AAUUCUCAACCUCACCCGCUUUUUAUUUGCGUGCGUGAAGGCUUGGAUGUGGAGGUUUUUGCAGGUCCAGCUCUGUUGGUCUGCUCCUCUGAAAUGCAUUAGUGGGUUGUGGCCCCUCAUCUAUUGGUGUGAUAAUUAUCUACGCCGUGGAUCAGUGUUGGCAACAAUGAAGACCUGCUUCUAACCGUCCGACUCGGACAAUCUUGACAU